CACGCAGGCGGUCUGUUAAGUCAGAUGUGAAAUCCCCGGGCUCAACCUGGGAACUGCAUUUGAAACUGGCAGGCUUGAGUCUUGUAGAGGGGGGUAGAAUUCCAGGUGUAGCGGUGAAAUGCGUAGAGAUCUGGAGGAAUACCGGUGGCGAAGGCGGCCCCCUGGACAAAGACUGACGCUCAGGUGCGAAAGCGUGGGGAGCAAACA
RNAcentral lists this ribosomal RNA (207 nucleotides) under uncultured bacterium. Its description in RNAcentral is "partial 16S ribosomal RNA". It matches the Rfam family "Bacterial small subunit ribosomal RNA", at positions 568 to 774 of the family's 1533-position model. The record is from RNAcentral.